Molecule: ribosomal RNA, 1873 nt
Filed under: human gut metagenome
Description: bacterial LSU rRNA
Rfam family: Bacterial large subunit ribosomal RNA
Source: RNAcentral
UAAAGCAAAGAAGAGCGCAGAGUGAAUGCCUUGGCAUUGAGAGCCGAAGAAGGACGUGGUUAACUGCGAUAAGCAGCGGGGAGUUGUAAGCAAGCAUUGAUCCGCUGAUUUCCGAAUGGAGCAAUCCGCAUGAAGUAGUUCAUGCAUCCAUAUGUGAAUCAAUAGCAUAUGGAGGGGAACCGCCUGAACUGAAACAUCUAAGUAGGGCGAGGAAGAGAAAUCAACCGAGAUUCCGUAAGUAGUGGCGAGCGAACGCGGAAGAGGCCAAACCGAGAGAAGAAAUUCUUUCGGGGUUCGGACUGCAUUUAGCAUUCCUGAUCUUUAGUCGAACAGUCUGGGAAGGCUGACGAGAGAGUGUGAGAGUCACGUAGACGAAAAGGAGAAGGAGCGAGCAGGAUCCAGAGUACCGCGGGGCACGUGAAAUCCCGUGGGAAGAUGGGGGGACCACCCUCCAAGCCUAAAUACUACUCAAUGACCGAUAGCGUAUAGUACUGUGAAGGAACGGUGAAAAGAACCCCGGGAGGGGAGUGAAAAGAACCUGAAACUCUGUGCUUACAAGCACAUAGAGCACGUCAAUGUGUGAUAUGGUACCUUUUGUAGAAUGGUCCGGCGAGUUAUGGUAUGCAGCAUGGUUAAGGACUUGAGGUCUGAAGCCGAAGCGAGAGCGAGUCUGACAAGGGCGAAAAGUUGUAUGCCAUAGACCCGAAACCGGGUGACCUAGCCAUGUCCAGGCUGAAGUGGAGGUAAAACUCCAUGGAGGGCCGAACCGACCUCCGUUGAAAAGGCGGCGGAUGAGAUGUGGCUAGCGGAGAAAUUCCAAUCGAACCCGGAUAUAGCUGGUUCUCCCCGAAAUAGCUUUAGGGCUAGCGUUGUAUUAGAUUACCGGAGGUAAAGCACUGAAUGGGCUAGGGGCUGAGAAGUUACUGAACCCUAUCAAACUAAGAAUGCCGGAUAAUUGAUGUACAGCAGUCAGACUAUGUGAGAUAAGUCUCAUAGUCAAAAGGGAAACAGCCCAGACCCACAGCUAAGGUCCCAAAAUGGAUUUAAGUGGAAAAGGAUGUGGAAUUGCACAGACAACCAGGAUGUUGGCUUAGAAGCAGCCACUCAUUAAAAGAGUGCGUAAUAGCUCACUGGUCGAGUGACUCUGCGCCGAAAAUUCAACGGGGCUAAAAUUCAUACCGAAGCUUGGGCUUGACAGAAAUGUCAGGGGUAGGGGAGCGUCGUAUACGAGGUGAAGUCAUAGCGGAAGCGGUGGUGGAUUGUAUACGAGUGAGAAUGCCGGAAUGAGUAGCGAGAAUUAUGUGAGAAUCAUAAUGGCCGAAAGUCUAAGGUUUCCUGAGGAAGGUUCGUCCUCUCAGGGUUAGCCGGGAGCUAAGGUGAGGCGGAAACGCGUAGCCGAUGCACAUACGGUAGAAAUUCCGUAGCCUCCGAAGAUUUAAGCACAGGGACACUUUUGAAGGGCUGAGCCGGGCGUUGGUUGCCCCGGUCGAAAGGGACACGAGUGAGUGGAAGUCAGUUUGGAAAGAGGCGAGAAAAGCUGUGUGUAUAUGGAAGGAGCCCGUACCGCAAACCGACACAGGUAGACAGGAAGAAGAUUCUAAGGCCAGCGGGAGAAGGGUUGUUAAGGAACUCGGCAAGUUGACCCCGUAACUUCGGGAGAAGGGGUGCUUACGAAGGUAAGCCGCAGAGAAUAGGCCCAAGCGACUGUUUAGCAAAAACACAGCUCUAUGCUAAAUCGAAAGAUGACGUAUAUGGGGUGACACCUGCCCGGUGCUGGAAGGUUAAGAGGAGAUGUGAGAGCAUUGAAUUGAAGCCCCAGUAAACGGCGGCCGUAACUAUAACGGUCCUAAGGUAGCGAAAUUCCUUGUCAGGU